This 315-nucleotide ribosomal RNA is filed under the name uncultured bacterium. RNAcentral's name for it is "bacterial SSU rRNA". It matches the Rfam family "Bacterial small subunit ribosomal RNA", at positions 28 to 334 of the family's 1533-position model. The record is from RNAcentral.
GAUGAACGCUAGCUACAGGCCUAACACAUGCAAGUCGAGGGGCAUCGGGAGGGAAGCUUGCUUCCCUUGCCGGCGACCGGCGCACGGGUGAGUAACGCGUAUCGAACCUGCCCCAUACCCGGGGAUAGCCUUCUGAAAGGAAGAUUAAUACAAGAUGGCAUCAUGAGUCCGCAUGUUCACAUGAUUAAAGGUAUUCCGGUAGACGAUGGGGAUGCGUUCCAUUAGAUAGUAGGCGGGGUAACGGCCCACCUAGUCUUCGAUGGAUAGGGGUUCUGAGAGGAAGGUCCCCCACAUUGGAACUGAGACACGGUCCAA